GAUGAACGCUGGCGGCGUGCCUAAUACAUGCAAGUCGAGCGAACAGACGAGGAGCUUGCUCCUCUGACGUUAGCGGCGGACGGGUGAGUAACACGUGGAUAACCUACCUAUAAGACUGGGAUAACUUCGGGAAACCGGAGCUAAUACCGGAUAAUAUAUUGAACCGCAUGGUUCAAUAGUGAAAGACGGUUUUGCGGUCGCUUAUAGAUGGAUCCGCGCCUCAUUAGCUAGUUGGUAAGGUAAUGGCUUACCACGGCAAUGAGGGGUAGCCGACCUGAGAGGGUGACCAGCCACCGUGGGACUGAGAUAGGGCCCAGACUGCUACGGGAGGCAGCAGUGGGGAAUAUUGCACAAUGGGCGGAAGCCUGAUGCAGCAACGCAGCGUGCGGGAUGACGUCCUGCGGGUUGUAAACCGCUUUCGCCUGUGACGAAGCGUGAGGGACGUUAAUGGGUAAAGAAGCACCGGCUAACUACGUG
This 477-nucleotide ribosomal RNA is filed under the name uncultured bacterium. RNAcentral's name for it is "partial 16S ribosomal RNA". It matches the Rfam family "Bacterial small subunit ribosomal RNA", at positions 28 to 507 of the family's 1533-position model. The record is from RNAcentral.